This is a non-coding RNA of Pimephales promelas (fathead minnow), 180 nucleotides long. The record is from RefSeq and is a predicted model, not a curated record. NCBI's taxonomy places the organism in Eukaryota, Metazoa, Chordata, Actinopteri, Cypriniformes, Leuciscidae.
CCGUGUCUUGCGGGGUUGGAAUGACAUGAGGACUACUUCCAAAAUUGUGUUUCCACAUCUGAGAUGAAGGCAGUGAAAAGAACGAAGUGGAAUAAGAAUAAGCUCUUCAAAAAACACAACUUCUCUGAAUAAUGUGGGGGAAGAUGUUUGCAUGAUUUGUAAAUAAACACUUUAAAUACA